Molecule: ribosomal RNA, 497 nt
Filed under: uncultured bacterium
Lineage: Bacteria
Description: partial 16S ribosomal RNA
Rfam family: Bacterial small subunit ribosomal RNA
Source: RNAcentral
GAUGAACGCUGGCGGCGUGCCUAAUACAUGCAAGUCGAGCGAACGGACGAGAAGCUUGCUUCUCUGAUGUUAGCGGCGGACGGGUGAGUAACACGUGGAUAACCUACCUAUAAGACUGGGAUAACUUCGGGAAACCGGAGCUAAUACCGGAUAAUAUUUUGAACCGCAUGGUUAAAAAGUGAAAGACGGUCUUGCUGUCACUUAUAGAUGGAUCCGCGCUGCAUUAGCUAGUUGGUAAGGUAACGGCAUACCAAGGCAACGAUGCAUAGCCGACCUGAGAGGGUGAUCGGCCACACUGGAACUGAGACACGGUCCAGACUCCUACGGGAGGCAGCAGUAGGGAAUCUUCCGCAAUGGGCGAAAGCCUGACGGAGCAACGCCGCGUGAGUGAUGAAGGUCUUCGGAUCGUAAAACUCUGUUAUUAGGGAAGAACAUAUGUGUAAGUAACUGUGCACAUCUUGACGGUACCUAAUCAGAAAGCCACGGCUAACUACGUG